UCAUUUGUCUCUUAAUUAGGGACUAGAAUGAAAGGUUAGACUAUGUAACUUUGUCUCUUUUUAAUAUUUUGAAUUUUAUAUUUUAGUAAAAAAGCUAAAAUUUUUCUCAAAGACAAGAAGACCCUAUCAAGCUUAACAAUUAAAUUUUAUUUUCAAACUAAAACUAAAAUUGUUURACUGGGGCAGUAAAUAAAAAAUUUUUAUUUAAAUAUUAUGAAAAAUAAAUCUUGAAAAAUCAAAAAAUUUUUAAGAAAAADUAAGUUACUGUAGGGAUAACAGCAUAAUUUUUUUAAAGAGUUCUUGUCAUCAAAAAAGUUUGUGACCUCGAUGUUGGAUUAAAAUUCCUAGUUUWUGCAGU
RNAcentral lists this ribosomal RNA (358 nucleotides) under Pseudouroctonus minimus. Its description in RNAcentral is "partial 16S ribosomal RNA". The record is from RNAcentral. Lineage: Eukaryota; Metazoa; Arthropoda; Arachnida; Scorpiones; Vaejovidae.